Stegostoma tigrinum is the source of this 2243-nucleotide non-coding RNA. The record is from the annotation of a RefSeq genome assembly. Lineage: Eukaryota; Metazoa; Chordata; Chondrichthyes; Orectolobiformes; Stegostomatidae.
AUGACUUUUGAAACGUGCAGGAGGGCUAGCGUUGCAAUAUUGAUCAGACUCCUGGCCUCAGGACAGUUUGGCUGUAGCUAAAUUCAUCUCAUCUCAUGGGUGUGAGAAUGACGGGACCCUGAACUUGCAGCUGGUGGCGCCUGGCAUCACAGGGAAGUCCCUGGUUUCUCUCUGCCUCUUUCUCUCUGUCUUCAGCACAACCGUCGUGCCCUCGCCUUCAGUAAACAGCAGUUUCUCUCUUUUUUCUAUCUCCCUCGCGGGUAAAAUGUACCUUCUUGGCUGCAUUUGGAUGCUGAGCUGUUGGAUUGAAAGUGCCCAGGCUGAAUCAUUGCUACAGCAGACUCCGAGGGAAAUAGUGGUGACCGAAGGUGGGCAGAUCGAACUCUCCUGUAACCUGAAGAAGGGCUCACUCGAGUGGAUUUUCUGGUACAAACUAGACGGAAACUCCCGGGCCUAUUUUCUGAAGUCUGCCACUGUCCUGAACAAACAGACCUCAGGAGAGGGAAUAACCGAGCGGUUCGUUCUAACCAAAGAUACCUUUCGACUGUCGUUCAGUUUAAGCAUAAAAGACACGCAGCAGUCAGACAACGGCACUUACUAUUGCCUGAUGGUCGAAUCCUACUCCAUGUACCUGGGAAGUGGAACUGUGGUCACAGUAGUUCCAGAACAAGAGAAAGUAACUUUGCCGCCCCCAACGACUAAAAGCGGUGGAAUCGAUCGCGUUACCCAGCCCAAGGUACGACAGAAGAAGAAAGUGGAGAGUCACGAAUCCCGGAGGCGAUGUCCCCACCAGUUUCGAAAACGGUAAUUAACACAUCAAAUCAGGACUAACGAGUGGAGGAAAGAUUGGAAUGUUAUUUCCACCAAUUGUGAACUUUUGAAAGUCAUAGUCACAACUUUAUAUUGAUGAACACAGUCUUGUCUGCAUUUCACCCUCCUGUAUCAUUGCUGUAAAAUCUCUUUUGGUUAUGAAAACUGGGAUGAAACUUGCACUCAGAGCAUACACAUUCUGUGAACCCCACUCUCAACCUCCCCUUCAUUUCCAUGGCCAUGUAAUCUCUGAGGCACAUCUCUGCACAUCUCUGUGCAUACACAUACACAAGGUGGCGUGGUGGCACAGUGGUUAGUACUGUUGCCUCACAACACCAGGGACCCAGGUUUGAUUCCAGUCUGUGUAUAGUUUGCACAUUCUCCCCGUGUCUGUGUGGGUUUCCUCCAGACGCUCUGGUUACCUCCCACAGUCCAAAGAUGUGCAGGGUAGGUGGAUUGGUGGUGCUAAAUUGCCCAUAGUGUUCAGGGAGGUGUAGAUUAGGUGGGUUUUAGGGGGAUGGGUUUGGGUGGGAUUCUCUGAGGUUCAGUGUGGACUCGUUGGGCCAAAGGGACUGUUUCAACACGAUAGGGAUUCUAUGAUGAUGAUUCAUGAGCCAUUGUCUCCUCAGAGAUUUCAUGGCCUUGGGAGUGGGGUACAAAGAGAUUUUUAGCUAGUCAUCAUAGUGGUGUGUGGGCCAGGGGGACUUUUCCUGCCUGUGAUAUUAUCACACUUCUCUUCAGAUUAAUGUUACAACGAUGGAUGUAAAAUAUUAUCUCCUAGAUGUGUUCCCCCUGUGUUUACUGUUUAAUAGUAUUUGCUUUGCUUAUUCCAUUUGCUGUUUAUACCAUAUAGAAAGUGUAAAAUACUUACUUUUGCAAUAAACAGUAAUACAGUGUUUUAAAAUUACAGUAAUUGAAAAGAAGCAACAUUUGAAGUACUGCCUACAAUUCUGGUCUCCCUACUACAGGAACGAUGUUAUUAAACUGGGAAGAGUUUACAUAAGAAUGUUUUUGUGACUGAAAGGUUUGAGUUAUAAGGAGAGACUGAAUAGACUGGGACUAUUUCCCCUGGACUGUUGGAGACUGAGAGGUGACCUUAUAGAGGUUUAUAAAAUCAUGAGGGGCAUUGAUAUUUUCAAGAUUUUAUCCAGAGGGUACGGGAGUCCAAAACUAGAGGGCAUAUGUUUAAGGUGAAAGGGGAAAGAUUUAAAAAGGACCAGAGGGGCAACAUUUUCAUACAGAGGGUGGUGCAUGUAUGGAAUGAACUGCCAGAGGAAGUAGUGGAGGCAGGUCAGUUUCAACAUUUAAAAGACAUUUGAACAGAUACAUGGAUAGGAAAGGAGAAGAGGGAUAUGGGUCAAACACAGUCAAAUGGGACUAUUUCUGUUUAGGGAACUUGGUCUGCGCAGACAAGUUGGACCAAAAGCUCUGGU